UACGGAGGAUUCAAGCGUUAUCCGGAUUUAUUGGGUUUAAAGGGUGCGUAGGCGGUCGGAUAAGUUAGUGGUGAAAUCCCGAGGCUCAACUUCGGAAUUGCCUCUGAUACUGUUCGGCUAGAGAGUAGUUGCGGUAGGCGGAAUGUAUGGUGUAGCGGUGAAAUGCUUAGAGAUCAUACAGAACACCGAUUGCGAAGGCAGCUUACCAAGCUACUUCUGACGUUGAGGCACGAAAGCGUGGGGAGCAAACAGG
Molecule: ribosomal RNA, 253 nt
Filed under: uncultured bacterium
Lineage: Bacteria
Description: partial 16S ribosomal RNA
Rfam family: Bacterial small subunit ribosomal RNA
Source: RNAcentral